This 484-nucleotide ribosomal RNA is filed under the name uncultured bacterium. RNAcentral's name for it is "partial 16S ribosomal RNA". It matches the Rfam family "Bacterial small subunit ribosomal RNA", at positions 28 to 507 of the family's 1533-position model. The record is from RNAcentral.
AUUGAACGCUGGCGGCAUGCUUUAUACAUGCAAGUCGAACGGCAGCGCGGGCUUCGGCCUGGCGGCGAGUGGCGAACGGGUGAGUAAUGCAUCGGAACGUGCCCAGUAGUGGGGGAUAGCCCGGCGAAAGCCGGAUUAAUACCGCAUACGACCUGAGGGUGAAAGCGGGGGACCGAAAGGCCUCGCGCUAUUGGAGCGGCCGAUGUCGGAUUAGCUAGUUGGUGGGGUAAAGGCUUACCAAGGCGACGAUCCGUAGCUGGUCUGAGAGGACGACCGGCCACACUGGAACUGAGACACGGCCCAGACUCCUACGGGAGGCAGCAGUGGGGAAUUUUGGACAAUGGGGGCAACCCUGAUCCAGCCAUGCCGCGUGCGGGAAGAAGGCCUUCGGGUUGUAAACCGCUUUUGUUCGGGAAGAAAUCCUCUGGGCUAAUACCCCGGGGGGAUGACGGUACCGGAAGAAUAAGCACCGGCUAACUACGUG